Molecule: unclassified non-coding RNA, 391 nt
Filed under: soil metagenome
Description: partial contains 5.8S ribosomal RNA, internal transcribed spacer 2, and large subunit ribosomal RNA
Rfam family: 5.8S ribosomal RNA (bases 1-122)
Source: RNAcentral
GAUGAAGAACGCAGCGAAAUGCGAUACUUGGUGUGAAUUGCAGAAUCCCGUGAACCAUCGAGUCUUUGAACGCAAGUUGCGCCCGAAGCCAUUAGGCCGAGGGCACGCCUGCCUGGGCGUCACACGUCGUUGCCCCCCCAUCUACUCCUUCGGGAUUGCGGGGGGCGGAUGAUGACCUCCCGUGCGCCACGCCGCGCGGUUGGCAUAAAUGCCAAGUCCUCGGCGACGCACGCCACGACAAUCGGUGGUUGCGAAACCUCGGUUGCCCGUCGUGUGCGGUCGUCGCGCAUCGAGGGCUCGAAAAAAUUGCCGGGUUCCGGCUCGGCUUUCAACGCGACCCCAGGUCAGGCGGGGUUACCCGCUGAAUUUAAGCAUAUCAAUAAGCGGAGGA